AGCAGCCGCGGUAAUUCCAGCUCCAAUAGCGUAUAUUAAAGUUGUUGCAGUUAAAAAGCUCGUAGUUGAAUUUUGGGUCUAGCCGGGCGGUCCGCCCUCUGGGUGAGCACUGUUCCGACGCCGGGCCUAUCCUUCUGGUGAGUCGGCAUGUCCUUUGUUGGGUGUGUCGGGGAACCAGGACCAUUACCUUGAAAAAAUUAGAGUGUUCAAAGCAGGCGUAUGCUCGGAUACAUUAGCAUGGAAUAAUGAAAUAGGACGCGUGGUGCUAUUUUGUUGGUUUCUAGAACCGCCGUAAUGAUUAAUAGGGAUAGUUGGGGGCAUUAGUAUUCAAUUGUCAGAGGUGAAAUUCUUGGAUUUAUUGAAGACUAACUUCUGCGAAAGCAUUUGCCAAGGAUGUUUUCAUUAAUCAAGAACGAAAGUUAGGGGAUCGAAGACGAUCAGAUACCGUCGUAGUCUUAACCAUAAACUAUGCCGACUAGGAAUCGGGCGAUGUUAUUCUCAUGACUCGCCCGGCGCCUUAUG
This 522-nucleotide ribosomal RNA is filed under the name uncultured Ambisporaceae. Its description in RNAcentral is "SSU rRNA". It matches the Rfam family "Eukaryotic small subunit ribosomal RNA", at positions 569 to 1092 of the family's 1831-position model. The record is from RNAcentral. Lineage: Eukaryota; Fungi; Glomeromycota; Glomeromycetes; Archaeosporales; Ambisporaceae.